GACGAACGCUGGCGGCGUGCUUAACACAUGCAAGUCGAGCGGUAAGGCCCUUUCGGGGGUACGACGAGCGGCGAACGGGUGAGUAACACGUGGGUGACCUGCCCUCAGCUCUGGGAUAAGCCUGGGAAACUGGGUCUAAUACUGGAUAUGACUCCACGGUGCAUGUCGUGGGGUGGAAAGCCUUGUGCGGCUGAGGAUGGGCCCGCGGCCUAUCAGCUUGUUGGUGGGGUGANGGCCUACCAAGGCGACGACGGGUAGCCGGCCUGAGAGGGCGACCGGCCACACUGGGACUGAGACACGGCCCAGACUCCUACGGGAGGCAGCAGUGGGGAAUCUUGCGCAAUGGGCGAAAGCCUGACGCAGCGACGCCGCGUGAGGGAUGACGG
RNAcentral lists this ribosomal RNA (386 nucleotides) under uncultured bacterium. Its description in RNAcentral is "bacterial SSU rRNA". It matches the Rfam family "Bacterial small subunit ribosomal RNA", at positions 28 to 414 of the family's 1533-position model. The record is from RNAcentral.